RNAcentral lists this non-coding RNA (26 nucleotides) under Homo sapiens (human). Lineage: Eukaryota; Metazoa; Chordata; Mammalia; Primates; Hominidae. The record is from RNAcentral.
UGCCAGGUGAUGGGAAUAAGUAGAAU